CCUACGGGAGGCUGCAGUGGGGAAUAUUGGACAAUGGGGGGAACCCUGAUCCAGCCAUGCCGCGUGUGUGAAGAAGGCCCUCGGGUUGUAAAGCACUUUCAGUGAGGAAGAACGCCUGGUGGUUAAUACCCAUCAGGAAAGACAUCACUCACAGAAGAAGCACCGGCUAACUCCGUGCCAGCAGCCGCGGUAAUACGGAGGGUGCGAGCGUUAAUCGGAAUUACUGGGCGUAAAGCGCGCGUAGGUGGCUGGAUAAGCCGGUUGUGAAAGCCCCGGGCUCAACCUGGGAACGGCAUCCGGAACUGUCAAGCUAGAGUGCAGGAGAGGAAGGUAGAAUUCCCGGUGUAGCGGUGAAAUGCGUAGAGAUCGGGAGGAAUACCAGUAGCGAAGGCGGCCUUCUGGACUGACACUGACACUGAGGUGCGAAAGCGUGGGUAGCAAACAGGAUUAGAUACCCGUGUAGUC
Molecule: ribosomal RNA, 465 nt
Filed under: Vreelandella stevensii
Lineage: Bacteria; Pseudomonadati; Pseudomonadota; Gammaproteobacteria; Oceanospirillales; Halomonadaceae
Description: partial 16S ribosomal RNA
Rfam family: Bacterial small subunit ribosomal RNA
Source: RNAcentral